Long non-coding RNA from Homo sapiens (human), 552 nucleotides. Ensembl annotates it as long intergenic non-protein coding RNA 2808. Lineage: Eukaryota; Metazoa; Chordata; Mammalia; Primates; Hominidae. The record is from Ensembl.
ACUAGCCAUGUGAACUUGGGCAAGUGACCUAAUCCUCUGCAUUUCAUCUCUAAAUUGGGGAGAAUAGAAGCAUCUACUUCAUGUAGUAGCCAGGAUUAGAAGAGGGAGGAAUAACUGGGCCCUGGAUAGAAUGUGAUGAAUGUAUAUUCUUAAUGAGAAGUGGAAAUAAUUUGUGGUUGAGAGCUGUGCCUCAGAUCAGAGUGACAGGAUACAUGGCUAGGCUAUAUUUUCCAGCAGAUUAAGAGCUGCGGCCCAAGACUCUGAAAUAUGAAGAAAAAAGGAGAAGAUGACAGCAUAUCUUUUUAAAGAAAUAUUUUCCAGCCAAAUGGUGUAGCAGAGGACUUCCAGGAAUUUGUUCUUGUUCUGUAUCAAAGGUGAAGAGUUCGUAGCCUUCAAGGAAACAAGAAACCAUGGGAUGGAGUGAAGGAAGGUGGCCUGGAACCAGCUGCUGAGCCUCUCUGAGCCCCAGUUUCCUCGUCUCUAAAAUGGGGCUGAUCUCCUCUCCCUCAGACUGUUGUUGCAGGAAUUAAAACAGGUUCUUGGAGCCCCACU